CAAGACCUUCGGGGCAGGGUGAGGCGCGCGGAGCGCCAAUUCCCGACCGGCGGUAAAGCCCGCGAGCGGCCAGCGGCCGCAGGAUCCGGUGAGGCGUCAGCAGCGCCAAUUCCGGGGCCGACGGUAUAGUCCGGAUGGGAGAAGGUCGUU
RNAcentral lists this non-coding RNA (150 nucleotides) under Thermomicrobium roseum. RNAcentral's name for it is "FMN sequence". It matches the Rfam family "FMN riboswitch aptamer (RFN element)". Rfam says of the family: The RFN element is a highly conserved domain that is found frequently in the 5'-untranslated regions of prokaryotic mRNAs that encode for flavin mononucleotide (FMN) biosynthesis and transport proteins. This element is a metabolite-dependent riboswitch that directly binds FMN in the absence of proteins. In Bacillus subtilis, the riboswitch most likely controls gene expression by causing premature transcription termination within the 5' untranslated region of the ribDEAHT operon and precluding access to the ribosome-binding site of ypaA mRNA. Lineage: Bacteria; Pseudomonadati; Thermomicrobiota; Thermomicrobia; Thermomicrobiales; Thermomicrobiaceae. The record is from RNAcentral.